RNAcentral lists this ribosomal RNA (169 nucleotides) under uncultured bacterium. RNAcentral's name for it is "partial 16S ribosomal RNA". It matches the Rfam family "Bacterial small subunit ribosomal RNA", at positions 338 to 524 of the family's 1533-position model. The record is from RNAcentral.
CCUACGGGAGGCAGCAGCAAGGAAUUUUCGUCAAUGGGCUAACGCCUGAACGAGCAACGCCGCGUGCAGGAUGACGGCCUUCGGGUUGUAAACUGCUUUUGCGGGGGAUGAGACAGACAGUACCCCGCGAAUCAGGCUCGGCUAACUCUGUGCCAGCAGCCGCGGUAAU